Molecule: ribosomal RNA, 22 nt
Filed under: Ganoderma lucidum
Lineage: Eukaryota; Fungi; Basidiomycota; Agaricomycetes; Polyporales; Polyporaceae
Description: partial 5.8S ribosomal RNA
Source: RNAcentral
CAACUUUCAGCAACGGAUCUCU